UACGGUAGGGUGCAAGCGUUGUCCGGAAUUAUUGGGCGUAAAGAGCUCGUAGGCGGUCUGUCGCGUCGGCUGUGAAAAACUCGGGGCUCAACUCCGAGCUUGCAGUCGAUACGGGCAGGCUAGAGUUCGGCAGGGGAGACUGGAAUUCCUGGUGUAGCGGUGAAAUGCGCAGAUAUCAGGAGGAACACCGGUGGCGAAGGCGGGUCUCUGGGCCGAUACUGACGCUGAGGAGCGAAAGCGUGGGGAGCGAACAGG
Molecule: ribosomal RNA, 255 nt
Filed under: uncultured bacterium
Lineage: Bacteria
Description: partial 16S ribosomal RNA
Rfam family: Bacterial small subunit ribosomal RNA
Source: RNAcentral